This 500-nucleotide ribosomal RNA is filed under the name uncultured bacterium. RNAcentral's name for it is "partial 16S ribosomal RNA". It matches the Rfam family "Bacterial small subunit ribosomal RNA", at positions 28 to 507 of the family's 1533-position model. The record is from RNAcentral.
GACGAACGCUGGCGGCGUGCUUAACACAUGCAAGUCGAACGGGUCUGCCCUGUUUUUUGCGGGGUGGGUCAGUGGCGAACGGGUGAGUAACACGUGAGUAACCUGCCCCUCACUUCUGGAUAACCGCUUGAAAGGGUGGCUAAUACGGGGUGUUCUGGCUGUGCCGCAUGGUGUGGCUGGGAAAGAUUCACUUUUGUGGUGUUUUGGUGGGGGAUGGGCUCGCGGCCUAUCAGCUUGUUGGUGGGGUGAUGGCCUGCCAAGGCUUUGACGGGUAGCCGGCCUGAGAGGGUGGGCGGUAACACUGGGACUGAGAUACGGCCCAGACUCCUGCGGGAGGCAGCAGUGGGGGGUAUUGCACAAUGGGCGGAAGCCUGAUGCAGCGGCGUCGCGUGAGGGAUGGAGGCCUUCGGGUUGUGAACCUCUUUCGCCGGUGAAGAAGGUCCUGCUCUUUGUGGUGGGGUUGACGGUAGCCGGGUUAUGAAGCGCCGGCUAACUACGUG